CUCUGAAGUGGUCUUAUGGGUCAGCUUGUCUGGCUUUCCUGGCGGAGGAUGUGUGAGGCUGGAGAGUCUGAGAAAACAACAGGGAAACAGAAGAUCAGUUCCAGGUUGACGGUGCGAGACGUGGCUCCAAUCCUCCUGCAUGUCUGUCUCCAGCUCUAGUCUUUCUAGGCCUCCAUUAAGCUCCUUCAGCUUUCACAUGACACAGCAAUACCCAUCAUAAGCUGCAUGACAGCAUCUGGACCUGAGUGACAUUUGAUGUAUGCGGCAGGAGUGGGAGCAGCUCCGCUCUGUGUCUCCCAUUCAUGUGGUGAGGGCAGGAUUAAGACGUGAUCCAACGGAGCAGAAGUGGAGAAGAACGAGCUCGGGUCAGAUCUGCCUUGAAUUAACUCAGUGUUGCAGCAGGAAUAAUACAAUCACCUCCCCCAAAACCCCAAAAUACUACUGAAGGGUAAAGUAUGUGUGCCUGUGUGUGUGCUGAGCCCGGCCUGUGUCGAGGCUGCGACCAAACCGCAGGCUGGUGUCCUUUACAGAGAAGAGGGGUCUGUGUUGAUGGUUCAAACACAGCUCACGGCCUCAGCUUCAAAAGGGCCCCAAUCAUCGCACCCACUUACAGCCAACGGCGCAUGUCACUGAAUGUGGACCACACUAUUCAUCAAUUGCAGCCAGCUCAGGGGACGUCCAACAGCCCCACAAGAAGUGAGUUGUCUUCUGUUCUCACUGAACCCCCCCCCCCCAGCCUCUCAAAGCCCAUCUGUAGCAGGAGGUGUGGUGUGAGGCCGCUUCCCUUUAUCUUUCCUGUUGUUAUCUCACCACAGCUCUGAAAAGCUCCUCAUCUGUAGAUUUGGCCUCCUGCAGCUUUAAAGAAAGCAGACGGCUAAUCGAAACGCCGUUGGGACACAUACGAGUCCAUGACCUUUCCUUCCUCCUUGCUGUCUCUUGCCCAGACGCCGCCAUGAUACCAAAAAUUAUUGCUGUGUCUCACAGCCGAUUGCCCCGAGUCCAACGAAGAACCACGAGACCCUCGGAACCAGAUUGUUACUGUGGGGGUGGAGGGGGCACAGCAGUUCACCGCUGGACCACCCACAUUCGGAAACGCCUAGCUGUUCCUGAGGCCGAGCUUGGAGAGCGUGGCCGAGAGAGAUUGGCCACUGAUCCCACAGUGGUGCCCAGCAUGCCUCCGAACGGCCCCCCCACAAACAGGCCGACCAGGGAGCCGAGCAAGGCCUCUCUUCUCACCAGUGUGGGCAGCCAGUAUAUCCAGCUCAUCAGCUUCUCCCACAGGCUCCGGAGAAACGACGGCGCAGAGGCGACACUGGUCCGGGGGAAAAUAUCAUCAAUAUCUACGUUCAGGUCACCUACGCUCCUCUCCGCCUCCUCCCGCUCCGCUUCCAUCUCUUCUUCUGUCAUGUUUUCCUCUGACGGGGAGUCAUCCAACCCCUCUCCUCUUCUCUGCCUCACCAGCUCCACCUGCCUCUUCCUCACCCUCUCCUCAGCCUCCUGGUACAGGGGGCAGCUCAGGUGUUGA
Molecule: long non-coding RNA, 1525 nt
Organism: Mastacembelus armatus (zig-zag eel)
Lineage: Eukaryota; Metazoa; Chordata; Actinopteri; Synbranchiformes; Mastacembelidae
Source: Ensembl